RNAcentral lists this ribosomal RNA (497 nucleotides) under uncultured bacterium. Its description in RNAcentral is "partial 16S ribosomal RNA". It matches the Rfam family "Bacterial small subunit ribosomal RNA", at positions 28 to 507 of the family's 1533-position model. The record is from RNAcentral.
GAUGAACGCUGGCGGCGUGCCUAAUACAUGCAAGUCGAGCGAACAGACGAGGAGCUUGCUCCUCUGACGUUAGCGGCGGACGGGUGAGUAACACGUGGAUAACCUACCUAUAAGACUGGGAUAACUUCGGGAAACCGGAGCUAAUACCGGAUAAUAUAUUGAACCGCAUGGUUCAAUAGUGAAAGACGGUUUUGCUGUCACUUAUAGAUGGAUCCGCGCCGCAUUGGCUAGUUGGUAAGGUAACGGCUUACCAAGGCAACGAUGCGUAGCCGACCUGAGAGGGUGAUCGGCCACACUGGAACUGAGACACGGUCAAGACUCCUACGGGAGGCAGCAGUAGGGAAUCUUCCGCAAUGGGCGAAAGCCUGACGGAGCAACGCCGAGUGAGUGAUGAAGGUCUUCGGAUCGUAAAACUCUGUUAUUAGGGAAAAACAAAUGUGUAAGUAACUAUGCACGUCUUGACGGUACCUAAUCAGAAAGCCACGGCUAACUACGUG